AUCGAUGGUGAGGCGUUGGAUCGUGCGCUGCUCGCCUACAACGGGGCGAGCAGCGCGUGUGCGC
Molecule: small RNA, 64 nt
Filed under: Sinorhizobium meliloti 2011
Lineage: Bacteria; Pseudomonadati; Pseudomonadota; Alphaproteobacteria; Hyphomicrobiales; Rhizobiaceae
Description: putative ncRNA
Source: RNAcentral